AAUGUAGCUUGAUUCGGUAGCAGUAAUUUUUGUAAGAAUGAAAACAGUUAUCUCCUAAGAAAAACAGUGCAAAUGCACAUGUCAAAACUGUGUUUUAAUUUGCAAUGUAUGCAGCAAUCCAUUAACUAUUCCCAAAUUUCUUUUCUCCUUUUGCAGUGGAUUCUCUGAUAUCAUAUUGCAAUCCUCGUAUAAGAACAAAGCUCUGUACAAUUGAUUCUUCUUUUUGUUGUCAGUUUUUCAUUAUGAUCACUAAGGAUAUCUGUAUUUUGGGCUGAAACAAAAACCAAAGACUCAUGAAAGGAACCUAAUGUGGGUUUUCUUUUCCUGGGAUGAUGUCCUUGCAUUAAAUAGAGUGCUCUGCAUUUUUAAAAAGCCAAAUAUCAAUAUUUUAUUAAUGUGGGCUUUGGUGGAUUGAGCUGCAGCUGUGCCUUGGUGCAGCAGCUCUGUGCCUCCUGCAGAGAACAGCCUGUGCCCCAGCUCUGCCGGCUGCUGCAGCGUCCUGGCGCUGCUGGUGUGAGCACAGCUGGGACAGCAAAGUGCCCUCCCUGGCACAAAGAUGCACAGCUCUCCUACAUCUCUUGUGUUCAGUGUAGACAGACUUGCAUAUGGGGCACUGCCAAUGCAGUAAUGGCAAAAUAUUGAAAGAUGAGCGCAUAUAUUGCUGCUUAAAGUUCAACAGAAAUGAUUUACACUCAUGUGAGUAUUUUUAAUAUUAUUAACAACACCACUAGCCUUUACCCAAGAGUAGUUUAUAUCUGUGUCUUCUUCUGAAGAGAAAAAAGCAAAUCAAAGUAGUAUUUUAAAAGCUAAGAUAAAACCUGUAAAUAUAGUUAUUGACAUAGGGAUCUUCUGAAUAUAUUAAGAAUUUCCCUACAAAAAUUCAUGUGGUUAAGAUUAGUUAUUAGGUUUCAGUUUUACUCCUUCUCUACAGCUAAAUGCCAUGGGCUUAGAUAGCGUGUCUUAAAAGAUGCUAACAAAGCAGAAAGAGAUUUACUUAUAGCUAACAUGCAGCAAACCAAAUUGUAAUAACUUGUUUGUGUGAAGGAUUGAUUUUGAUUUCUCAUCUGCAUCAUGUGACAAUAUCUGUAACAUGAACCCUGCAUCAGGCUCUGGGGUCUGCAACACAGGAAUGACAUGGAACUGUUGGAACAAGUCCAGAGGAGGCCACCAACAUGAUGCAAGAGAUGGAGCACCUCUCCUGUGAGUAAAGCUUGAGGGAGUUGGUUUUGUUCCGCCUGAAAAAGAGAAGGCUUUGGGGUGGCCUGAUUGUGGCUUUCCAGUACUUGAAGGGAAUUAUAGAAAAGAUGGAGAGGGACUUCUUGAAAGGGCAUCCAGUGACAGGACAAAGGGGAAUGGCUUCAGUCUGAAAGAGGGUAGGUUUAGAUCAGGUAGUAGGAAGAAGUUCUCUGCCGUGAGGGUGGUGAGACACUGACACACGUUGCUCAGAGAAAUUGUGGAUGCCCCAUCCCUGGAAGUUUUUAAGGCCUGAGCAACCUGGUCUAGUAACAGGUAUCCCUGUCUGCAGCAGGGGGAUUGGAAUUUGCAUGAGCUUAAAGGUCCCUUCCAACUCAGGCCAUUCUAUGAUCCCAUGAUUCUGUGACUCUGUUCCACGUAGUGGAGCUUGGUGUUAUUAUGCAUUAUCGUUUGAAGAGAAUGCUCACUUGGAAAGUUUGAAGCACCCAAAGAUUUUUCUGGCUUGACAAAGCAAGGCAGGUGCUGGAGAGUCAAAGCACAUGGACAAGCCUUGGGUCAUCGCUGGCAGGAGACAAGAAUAACCUACAAGGGCACCUGCAUGAGGAGAACCUUCUUAUUCUGUAAUUUUCCCAUAAUCAUUUAAUGACAAGUUUUUCAUUCCCUUUAAAGUAAAUGACUGCUAAGAAAUGUGGUGACCUUACUGGUUAUGGCUUUACAAUUUUCUACUGAACAGAACUGCGCAGAUAAAAAGUCUUUGGCCUUUGCCUUCUGUGAAAAUAAAAAAGGGCUUAGAGAACAAAGUUUAUUAACAGUUGCUCGUUGGCACAUUUGUCUCAUUUCCUAGCUCUGACCAGCAUACUUAGCAAGGAGACAAGAAAGAGAGAGGCAAGGGAUAUGUCUCAGGACUGCAGCCCCUUCCUGCGUGUCUCCUGCUCCGGGAGGGAUGUCCUGGUGGACAGCUCCAGGUGGCUGCCAGCCAGGGCCCUGCCCUGCUCUGCCCGAGGCACCGUGCCCAGGCAGUGCUCCCCUCCAGCCUCCUGGGCUCCACAUCCCCUCUCUGCCUGCCCUUUGGGAAAUCCACCACUUAACAUCGCUCCUCCCUGAUCCCUCCCGAUCCUUUCGUGUUCCAAACACUACACAGAGAAAUGUCCGUCUUUCCUAAGUCUCCAUACACACAUUGCAGCUCCUGCUGCAGAGAUCUGCCUUCUUUCCCAGAGCUGCUGCCUCUGUAUUCCAGGCCUGAUUUGAAGACAUAACUAAGCAAGCAGAAACCAAAAGAAUUUUUUUUUCAUUAUUGCCAUGUAUUCCUUUGUCGCCUGCCAUUGUUUUCAAGUGUUUGAGCACAUCUUGCUUGAGACAGUCAGUAUUAUGAACUUGCCUGUUGCAUAUCAUCCCCUUUCUUGUGGUUUUCCCAGCCCCCUAAUCCUGUUAUUAAUCCAUAGGAGAAAAGACAGCAUGCUUCCUACAAAUUGCAUACUCAGUAAAAACCGGUCUAGAAUGUUCAAAUAGUAAAAUAUUUUAAAAGUAUCUCAUACCAGAUGCUGGAAAUUUGUUCUAGGAAUUAAUAUUCAUUACAUUUCUAAUAUUUCUGUAUUUUAAUAUUAAUUUCUGUUUUGUAGCUGUUCCUGACUAUUACUUCUUGUAAUAGAAGUUCAGUAUCUAUUUGUUCAAAGAAAAAUGUAUCUGCUAAAACAGGCAGGAAGCUGGAACACCCUGACAGCUGGUGCAGCACAUUUUUUCAAUUGCCAGACAGCAGCUCAGAAAUGGUGUGCCUGAGAGGGAGAAAUGGAAAUGAUUGUGAUAUUGUUUGUGGAGCACAUGAAAAAGCACGUGCUGCCAUCAUAGCAGUUUUUCUGACCUCAGUCAUGCUUUGUGUUAGGCAGCUGUAAAUGUAAGAAAGAAAAUGCAGAUCUAGUGUUAAAUUUUAAACAUAUUAAUGAAAAAUCUCUCUUUGAAACAACAAAUUAAGUUACAGCUGUACCUAUAGAACCUUGCACUAUAUGUUGUUUUUUGUAGCUAAGGAAAUUAAUUAUGAAUUACAAUUACAUUUUUUCCCCUUACAAGGUGAUAUGUGGCUGUAUGUGGGGAGUUUGUAUCCCUGAAAGGCAAGAUCUGCUUAUUCUAAUUCAGUAUCUGCUCAGAUAUUUAGUAACAUCUGGAAUACAGUUACAGAACUCCUGAUUUACAAAGUGAAAUAACAGAGGGAAAGGCAAGUUCUUUAGUUUGGGGCUUGACAUUCAUUUUAUCAUUUAUGCUACUUGUUUUGUGGAAGACAGAAGUGGAGAGAAUCAGAAUUUCACUGGGAACUGGCCAUGUCACAGCAGAAAAUGUGGUGCUCCUGAAAAACCUGCCUUGUAGAGGAAAUGUCAUCUGUGAAACACCAGGCUCCCUGUCACCCCUGAGCUGAGCCUGGCCUGCCAGACUUGCCUCUGCCUUGAGCUUCACGCUGCCAUUCCCAGUCUCACUGAACUCCGAUGUCAGUACAGAGCCUUGGCAGAAGAAAUCACAGUGGAAAACCUCUGCUCUACUUCCUGAAGUCACAUACAGGACAACCCUGCCCCUAGUUCCCCUGUCCUCUGCCUACACAGUCCCAAACAGGAACUGUUUGCUAAUCUGUGGGCUGCUAAAUUUAGCUGGUUCUUGAUAGCUGAAAACAGCUCACAGACUGGAUUGUACUGCUGGUCACCUGUAGCCAGAUAACACCAGCUAGCUGAUAUAAAACCAGGUGCAAAUAAUUGGCUCUGUCAGCUGCUCUCUAUAGGAGCAUUAAAAUAAUAGUAAUACUAAACUAAUAACUAUUAUUGUUGUUACUGUUAUUACAUACUGAAUAUAAUAAUUUCUAUACUUUUGUCUGAAAUUAUACACCUCUCAGGAUGAUUUCAGUCUUCAGAAGAGUUGAUCUGGGAGAUAUUUUUUCAUAGACAAUCUGAGAGAGACAAGAGUAGAGAGAAUGCAGAAUUAUACAGGGAACUAGAUCUGCCAUAGCAGAAGAUGUGAUCUUCCUGAAAGAUCCUCCCUGGCUGAGGAAGAUAUCAAGGUGAAUAUCAAACCCUAGCACUGGCUUUAAUUACAGCCACAUCAAAUAUUUGUGUUGGAACCUGACACCAUAUGAACUUUGUUCAGCUUCACCUUCCACUGCAAGUUUGUCAGGUGUUGCAAAGGACGUGAUGGCUGAGGAUCGUUAACAUGGGAGAAAAACCAAGCUCCUUUUUGGUUUUAUUUGCUUUUAAAGUAAAACAAAGGCAUGGGACCGUGUCCAGUGGUUCCCAAGUGGGGGUACUGAGGCUGCAAGGUGCUGUCUCCAGCUGCUAAUGAGUGCAGGUACAGGCACAGCUCUCUGUAACUGCACCAACUGUGUGGGCUUUAGAGGCUGGGGAGAAAGCACAGGUGAGAGUUGUGUCAUGAGCUGUGUCCUCACUGGCCUGUUGGAUGACUUCUGAAGAGCAGAGUCACCUGCCUGCAAUGGUCGCCUUCAGGUAUGUCCCACACAAGCUUCUGCAUCUUCUUAGACCUUGCCUCUUUGUCUCAGCUGCUGGCUUGGACUGGGAUCUAAAAGGCCUCCAGCUGCAGCUCCUUGCUCCUGUUUCUCCAGUGCCCAUCCAGGAUCAGAACUGAAGUAAUUUUACAAAACAACCUCAGCCUCCUGAGAUGGCUGAACAGAGGAGGUUGGUCUUUCUCCCCUGUAACAUAUGGCUGACCUUAACACCAAGGAUAAAAUUAUUAGAGAAAAUCACCUGACAGCUUCACCUGUGCCUCGUUAUGUAUAUUAUCCUCUUCAAUGUAAUGUAUCUCAGUUCCUCUGUUGCUUUUCCAGAAACAAGUGGAAACCACUUUGUCA
Molecule: long non-coding RNA, 5032 nt
Filed under: Taeniopygia guttata (zebra finch)
Lineage: Eukaryota; Metazoa; Chordata; Aves; Passeriformes; Estrildidae
Description: lncRNA (ENSTGUG00000020730.1)
Source: RNAcentral